Molecule: ribosomal RNA, 1369 nt
Filed under: uncultured bacterium
Lineage: Bacteria
Description: bacterial SSU rRNA
Rfam family: Bacterial small subunit ribosomal RNA
Source: RNAcentral
GACGAACGCUGGCGGCGUGCCUAAUACAUGCAAGUAGAACGCUGAAGAGAGGAGCUUGCUCUUCUUGGAUGAGUUGCGAACGGGUGAGUAACGCGUAGGUAACCUGCCUUGUAGCGGGGGAUAACUAUUGGAAACGAUAGCUAAUACCGCAUAACAAUGGAUGACACAUGUCAUUUAUUUGAAAGGGGCAAUUGCUCCACUACAAGAUGGACCUGCGUUGUAUUAGCUAGUAGGUGAGGUAACGGCUCACCUAGGCGACGAUACAUAGCCGACCUGAGAGGGUGAUCGGCCACACUGGGACUGAGACACGGCCCAGACUCCUACGGGAGGCAGCAGUAGGGAAUCUUCGGCAAUGGGGGCAACCCUGACCGAGCAACGCCGCGUGAGUGAAGAAGGUUUUCGGAUCGUAAAGCUCUGUUGUAAGUCAAGAACGAGUGUGAGAGUGGAAAGUUCACACUGUGACGGUAGCUUACCAGAAAGGGACGGCUAACUACGUGCCAGCAGCCGCGGUAAUACGUAGGUCCCGAGCGUUGUCCGGAUUUAUUGGGCGUAAGGCGAGCGCAGGCGGUUUGAUAAGUCUGAAGUUAAAGGCUGUGGCUCAACCAUAGUUCGCUUUGGAAACUGUCAAACUUGAGUGCAGAAGGGGAGAGUGGAAUUCCAUGUGUAGCGGUGAAAUGCGUAGAUAUAUGGAGGAACACCGGUGGCGAAAGCGGCUCUCUGGUCUGUAACUGACGCUGAGGCUCGAAAGCGUGGGGAGCGAACAGGAUUAGAUACCCUGGUAGUCCACGCCGUAAACGAUGAGUGCUAGGUGUUGGAUCCUUUCCGGGAUUCAGUGCCGCAGCUAACGCAUUAAGCACUCCGCCUGGGGAGUACGACCGCAAGGUUGAAACUCAAAGGAAUUGACGGGGGCCCGCACAAGCGGUGGAGCAUGUGGUUUAAUUCGAAGCAACGCGAAGAACCUUACCAGGUCUUGACAUCCCGAUGCUAUUUCUAGAGAUAGAAAGUUACUUCGGUACAUCGGUGACAGGUGGUGCAUGGUUGUCGUCAGCUCGUGUCGUGAGAUGUUGGGUUAAGUCCCGCAACGAGCGCAACCCCUAUUGUUAGUUGCCAUCAUUCAGUUGGGCACUCUAGCGAGACUGCCGGUAAUAAACCGGAGGAAGGUGGGGAUGACGUCAAAUCAUCAUGCCCCUUAUGACCUGGGCUACACACGUGCUACAAUGGUUGGUACAACGAGUUGCGAGUCGGUGACGGCAAGCUAAUCUCUUAAAGCCAAUCUCAGUUCGGAUUGUAGGCUGCAACUCGCCUACAUGAAGUCGGAAUCGCUAGUAAUCGCGGAUCAGCACGCCGCGGUGAAUACGUUCCCGGGCCU